Molecule: ribosomal RNA, 393 nt
Filed under: uncultured bacterium
Lineage: Bacteria
Description: partial 16S ribosomal RNA
Rfam family: Bacterial small subunit ribosomal RNA
Source: RNAcentral
AUACGGAGGAUCCGAGCGUUAUCCGGAUUUAUUGGGUUUAAAGGGUGCGCAGGCGGGAGAUUAAGUCGGCGGUGAAAUUUUGCAGCUCAACUGUAAAAGGGCCUUCGAAACUGGGUUCCUUGAGUGUAGAGUAAGUAGGCGGAAUUUUUGGUGGAGCGGUGGAAUGCAUAGAUAUCACGAGGAACUCCGAUUGGGCAGGCAGCUUACUAAACUACUACUGACGCUCAGGCACGAAGGCGUGGGGAUCAAACAGGAUUAGAUACCCUGGUAGUCCACGCAGUAAACGAUGAUUACUAGCUGUUUGCGAUACAAUGUAAGCGGCUGAGCGAAAGCGUUAAGUAAUCCACCUGGGGAGUGCGUUCGCAAGAAUGAAACUCAAAGGAAUUGACGGGG